Molecule: long non-coding RNA, 3742 nt
Organism: Acanthochromis polyacanthus (spiny chromis)
Lineage: Eukaryota; Metazoa; Chordata; Actinopteri; Pomacentridae
Exons: 3
Source: RefSeq, a predicted model, not a curated record
UUUUUAGGCUCUUUCUGUACUUGUUUUUUGGCUUUUUUGUGUCUUUUCCACUAAUUUUGUGUUUCUGUGGUUGUUUUAUGUCGUGUUGCAUUCAUUUUUUUGCCUUUGUGUUGUGUUUUGUUGUGCGUUUUUAGGCUCUUUCUGUACUUGUUUUUUGGCUUUUUUGUGUCUUUUCCACUAAUUUUGUGUUUCUGUGGUUGUUUUAUGUCGUGUUGCAUUCAUUUUUUGCCUUUGUGUUGUGUUUUGUUGUGCGUUUUUAGGCUCUUUCUGUACUUGUUUUUUGGCUUUUUUGUGUCUUUUCCACUAAUUUUGUGUUUCUGUGGUUGUUUUAUGUCGUGUUGCAUUCAUUUUUUGCCUUUGUGUUGUGUUUUGUUGUGCGUUUUUAGGCUCUUUCUGUACUCGUUUUUUGGCUUUUUUGUGUCUUUUCCACUAAUUUUGUGUUUCUGUGGUUGUUUUAUGUCGUGUUGCAUUCAUUUUUUUGCCUUUGUUUUGCGUUUCGUUGUGUGUUUUUAGGCUCUUUCUGUAGUUGUUUUGUGUCUCUAGUGGUUUUCCAUCUUAUUGCAUUUGUUUGAGUCUCUUUGACGUUGUUUUUCCAUCCUUUUUGCAUUCUUUUGAUGUUUCUUUUGGUUGUUUCUCGUCUUUUUUCAGUUGCUCCUUGCGGUUAUUUUAGCUUUUUUGCGUUCGUUUUGCAUCUGUUUUUGGUUGUUUUGCAUCUUUUUCUGGUUGUUUUGUGUCUUUUGCAUUCGUCUAGCAUCUCUUUACGUUAAUUCAAUGUCUUUUUGUCUAUUCUCAUCUGUUUGUGGUUACUUUUUGUCCAUUUUUGGUUGUUUUCUGUUUAUUUUCUGUAGUUUUACUGCUCUUUGCAUUUGUUUCGUGUCUCUUUGUUGUCAUGUUUUGUCUCAUUUGUCGCGUUCCAUUUGUCAUUGGUCAUCUUUGUCUUUUUGUGGUUGUUUUAUAUUUUUUUGCUUUAAUGUUGUGUCUUUUUGUGCUGCAGGUAGUAUAGAAUUAUUCAGGAACUGCUGCUGAACUGAAGUAAUCCACCAAAACCUUUGACUUAAUGACAUAUUUUUUGUUUUAUUUCAGUGUCUCUACAUGACUCAUAGAUAGAAACCAGUGACUAGCAGUAGACGGCAGUAACUGUCCUGAAUCUCUUCUGAUGAACCUGAGAUGAAGCCAGCAGUGAAGACGUUCUGAAUGUUCCGUGUUCCUCUGGUUUACCUUCAUGUGAGGAGGUUUGGGCUCAUAGAUGUUCUUUCAGGAGCAGGGAAACUCCCAUUAAUGUCAGUUUUUUUUUAAACUGAGCUCCUCUGAGGUGGAAUUCCCCCGGCAGACCAACAGACUUCCAGGAAGCUGGAAUGAAGCUGCCGCUCUGAAGGAGACGGACGACGUUCUACGAAUGUUGUCCAACCAGAACAGCAGCUGGGUCUCAUUUCAGUCGUUGGAGCUUCAGAUGAGUCAGAGCGACGAGCGCUGAACAAAAUGUUCCUGCAGAGUUUUACAGCGUUCACAUCAGAAACUAAACAGCUAAUGAGCCUGUAGUCAGACGGUGCAGGAGAACGGAGGGUUUAUGUCUCUAUGGUUGUUUUAUGUCUUUUUGUUUUGUAUCGCUGUAUUCGGCUCCUUUCGUAUUUGUUUGGGUCUUUUUGUGUUGAUUUUACAUCUUUCCUCAUUCAUUUUGUCUCUUUGUGGCUGUUUUACAUCAUUUUACAAUAGUUUUACGUCUCUGUCGUUAUUUUUUGUCUUUUUGUUUUGCAUCUCUCUGAAUAUUUAGGCCGUUUUUGCGUUUGUUUUUAUGUCCAUUUGUGGUUCUUUAGGGUCUUAUUUUAUUUAUUGCUUCUUUGUGGUUGUUUUACGUCUUUUUGCAGUCAUUUUCUUUGUGGUUUUAUGUGUCUUUUGUGUUUAUUUUUGUCUGUUUGUGGUUGUUUUAUGUUUUUUGUGUUCAUUUUGCAAUACUGUGAAUAUUUUUGCUCUUUUUUUUUUACAUUUGUUUAAGUCCAUUUGUGGUUGGUUAAGGUCCUUUUUUAAUUUAUUUUUUGUAGCUGUUUUAGACAUUUUUUGUAUUUUUUUUUGUGUCUUGCAUCCGUUUUCAAUUUUAUUUAAUAAUACUUUCAGUUACACAUAAUGUCAAGUAAAAUCACAGGAAAAACUCUGAACUUAUGCGUUGCCUGAGGAAAAAAACAAAGAAAACGGAACAAAACUGUAAAUGAUGUUCACAUAAAAGUCUUUUGUUCAUUUACUUACGUUUGGCCCUGAAAUGACAGUUUUUUCUGUCUUUAAAUCCAUUAUGAUGUCAUUAUUUUAGGGAUAUUUUGCAUUCUUCUCACCAUUCUUACUGAUGUUGACCACUACAGUAUUUCACUUUUUUAAACAUAUUUCUUUCUCUCUUGGUACCAGAUUUACAGUUUGUUUUACAGAUUUGUUUUAGUGUGGAUCAAAGAUGAGGUCCACCUGGAAUAAGCCGUACUUUCUAACUUUACGUCUGAUUCAGGAUCAGAAACCGACUCUGUGAAGGUUGGAAACUGAUCGCCGAGACGAAGGAAUCUUUGGUUCCUUCAGACUUCAGAACCUGUAAUUAAAAGUUCCAGGAACUUUUGGUGGAAAGAAAAGUGAAGCAGUUGUGGUACCAGAUGUUCUGAUCUCAGCUUCAUGGAGUCAAACUGGAUCUAAUGAAGAGACACGAGAACGGAGCAGGAAUGUCUGGAAUGAUCCGACGUGUCUGGACCUGAAGCUUCUCCUCGACGGAGGAAGACGAGGAGAUGCUGAAGAGCUGCAGUGGAAAGUUACCAGAGAGAGCAGAGUUUAAAGAACACUCCUGAAAUAUGAGACCGUUUAUUCCACAUUUACAUUCAUCAGGAGGUAAAACUUUAGAGACCUUCAGGCUCCAUCAGGGUGAUUCAUAAAGUAAUGAAUGAAUAAAAAUAAAAUCGACCUUAAAUAAUUAAAUAAUUCACGUUUAGUUUUUAUCAAUAUGUAAAGACAGAAAUGUGACAAAAAAUUAAAUAAUAAAUAUAAUAAUACAUUCAGUAUCAAGCUUAGUGAUUCCAGGGUCUAAAACUUCUAAUAAUUAUAGUUAAUUCUAUAUAUUUUUAUUAUUGAGUUCGUUUAUGUCAUUAAAAACACUUUUUAUUAAUUUACAAUUUAUUGAAACUUUAUAUAAUUUUACCUUUAUUCAUUUUAUUUGCUUCACUUAUGAAUAUUUUAUGUACACUUUCUCCUUUUUUAAAUAAUGGCUUUUCCUUUAAUGAUCUAAACGUAUUUUUAAGUUUUGUUUAUUUUACUUACUCAGAUUUUUAAGAAAUAUUUUACUUAUGUGCAUUUUACUGAUUUUACUUUACAUUUCUUUUGCAGUUUUUGCAUAUUUUACACAUGAAUAUUAUAUUUUUAAAUCUGAUGUACAUAAAUAUUUCUUAUUUUAAUGAUUUAAUCUGAAACUAGUUGUUUUUAAAUUAUUUCACUUGUGUUUAUUUUACUUGUCCAAAUUUAAUGUAAGUUUCGUCUUUUUUACGUGUUUAUCUUUAAAAAUUGUAUUAAAAUUUUAUGUAUUUUACUUAGUUUUUUAACAACAUAUUUUAUAAAUGUAUAUUUUAAUUAUUAAAAUUGAAACUAGUUUUGAAAUGAUUUUACUUCCAUUUUUUAUUCAUUUUAAUUAUUUUUACUGAUUUACUUGGGUAUGGUUUCCAGUUUGUUUAUAUUUUAAAUAAUUUUAAUUGUAUAUAAUAUCUACAUUUUAUUUAAGUUUCUC